Molecule: long non-coding RNA, 1270 nt
Organism: Xiphophorus hellerii (green swordtail)
Lineage: Eukaryota; Metazoa; Chordata; Actinopteri; Cyprinodontiformes; Poeciliidae
Exons: 2
Source: RefSeq, a predicted model, not a curated record
CUGACCUCUCUGCUGUGUGUUGUUUCGCUUCCUACAGAUCAGAGAAACAUAACUACCAAACCUGGAGAAAACGUCACUCUGCCGUGUGGCGCUGCUGAGAACCAACAUGUUCUGGCUGUAAGCUGGAGCAGAACUGACCUGGGGUCAGACUAUGUUCUUCUGUACAGGGAUGAGCAGUUUGAUACAGAACACCAGUCUGCAUCCUUUAAGAACAGAGUUGACCUGAAGGCUGUGGAUCGUGGAGACCCGUCCUUGAUUCUGAGCAACGUUACAACCAGCGAUGCAGGAACGUACGAGUGCCGGGUUGCUUAUAAAGAUGGCAAUGAGAAGAUCAAAACUCUAACUCUAAUCAGCACCAUUAACCUGAGAGUGGAACAAGGGAACAAGGAUGGAGGACAGGAUGAAGAAGCAAAGGCGGAUGGAGGGAACAAGACCAGGCAAAUAGUUGUUGCUGCUGCUGCUGGUGGUGGUGGUGCUGUUGUUGUUGUUGUUGCUGUUGCUGUUUGUAAGCGCCAUAGAAGGCAGAGAUCUUUACGUCCGGAUGCUAACCCACCUGCAGAAGAACUUGAGCAUAUUACAUCUGAACUAUAAAGAUGUAAGCAUGCAUUGUUUCAACAAACACACAUGAAGGUUAAAACUGACAUCUACCUGAUUAUAUUUUCUGUUUCAUAGAAUCUUCCAGUCCAGACUGAACUAAAACUAGCAUUAAAUAAACCUUAAACAUGCUCAGUUUGUGUGAAACAUUGCAUUUAAAGAAAAAUUAUUUCAUUCGUUUGAUUGUAUUGCUGUGUUUAUGUCUGAUUGGCUUAAAUGCCUGACAGGAGAAACUGAAAAUCACUGGCGACUGUCCCUCCCCUAUUUUCAGCAGUGUAAAGUUAAGCUAAAGGAGUUCAGAACAACUCUACUGUAGUACCACAGCACUAAGAUUGUAAAACAACACACAGCACCACCAAUGAAGCGCAGAGAUUACAUAUGCUCUAAGAACUCCUGUGCAUGCUGUCUGUGUGCACGGCCAUCUUGUUUUCAGGUAGGAACCAUGGAAACCCUUCAGAUCUUCAGAACUCUAUUUACUCAGUUGUACCAGAACUAAGCAAAGUGAGGCAGUCUUUAUUGGAAAUUGGUUCCUUUAACUGAAAAAUGUUUACUGAUCACUAUUAAUUGUCAGAUUUACAUUUUAGCAUUAUUUCUUUUUUUGCAGUUUGUCAAAGCUGGUUUUACUUUAAUGCUUUUACUUGGAUGCAAAAUGUUGCUUUUUUCAUGAAUGGUGUUA